This 893-nucleotide long non-coding RNA is filed under the name Gadus morhua (Atlantic cod). RNAcentral describes it as "lncRNA (ENSGMOG00000034836.1)". Lineage: Eukaryota; Metazoa; Chordata; Actinopteri; Gadiformes; Gadidae. The record is from RNAcentral.
AUCGUAUAUAACUAUAUAUGUAUUUGUUCCAGAUCCUGCACCUUCACCACAUUUGGAAAGACACGGAGAACUUCCAAAAGCCUGGAACAAAUACUGAAAAGUAUUGAAGAAUUGGCACAACCUGGGACCAAUAUAAAGGGUUGCAGUUAUUACAAUGCUGAUGGCCUUUGGGGAGAUGUCUGCAAAAGCCUGGAAGUGCCCAAUACAUCAGUGAAUCGGCAAAAACUUUAUAAGAUCGCUGCUCAUCUUUGGAAGGACAUCUCAGGGAUAAAGAGCAACUUAAAAGUGACAGAUGCUGAUGCUGAGGAGAGGGAACACAUCGCCUCUUCGGAUGACAAUGAUGUUGGAGACACUCAUCUGUCUCCACCUUUGGAAAAAGAGGAUGAAUGUUCAUCUUCAUUUGAAAAGGAUAAUGAAAAGGAAUCCAACCUGGCUGAAUCUGCUUACAUGUCAACAGAGAGCAGUGAGGCAGAGGAGACAAUUUUCUCAUGCUGUGUGCCACAGCAGCCAUGUUUCUUUUUUCUUGACAAAAAGGAAUGGCAAGACCUGAGGAAAUCUCAGAGAGGAAAUUGUUUUCAAGGGUUACAGUGGACAAAUGUGAUAGCAAGUGGAAUAAGGUCACUUCACCUGCAGCUUUGGUUUUAGACGUCACGCAUUAAAAACCCUGCGGUCACAAAGAAGCGCACCCAUCUUCAAAUGUAAUGGAUACUGUCGGUUUGAAGAUUGCCCCAUUGCUGUUACUGUCGAAGUCAGAGAUGAGGUCACCCUGAAGGCAGAUGUGGUAUUCACAGGAGGAGAUAAGGUGUGCCACAGUACCACUGAACUCAAAAGAAGGCCAGUCCGUGCAGAUGCACGUUCAUCACUUGCAGAAACCCUUGAAACGAAGUUACCAA